UUUUUAUCUUCUUCGCUGGAACAAAACCACAGAACAGAUGCAGAGAAGAGGAGGGAGCGUGCAGAACUUUCAGGGGCAGUGACGAGAAGCUCCGUGCAUGUCCGCGAAAACCCGACUCCGCGGUCAUCUUCUCCUCUCCUACCGCUUCCUCUGGGGCUUAUGGAGACUGAGCUUUGCACCUCGAAGAAUCGACCCAAUGAAAUAUCUUUGAGUAUGCAAUAAGCUUCCGAUUGCGCGGAGGAAUCACUUUUUGAUAUCGGGGAUCAGCUUGGAGGACUAGGUAGGAACCUUAGUUAUUUGAUAGAUAUCCUUUUUGUAUAGAAUGGACUUGAGAAUGUUACGACUUGAAAAUUUUGUUUAGUUAUAUCACUGAUGUGAGAGCGAAAAAGAAAUCUUCGGAAAAGUGUAUAUACCUAUUAGAGUUGAUGGAUUGGUUAUAUACUUUGGAAAUUUAUGAGAAGUAAGUUUUUAUAUGAUAA
This is a non-coding RNA of Punica granatum (pomegranate), 479 nucleotides long. The record is from RefSeq and is a predicted model, not a curated record. Lineage: Eukaryota; Viridiplantae; Streptophyta; Magnoliopsida; Myrtales; Lythraceae.